This 532-nucleotide ribosomal RNA is filed under the name uncultured Bacteroidota bacterium. RNAcentral's name for it is "bacterial SSU rRNA". It matches the Rfam family "Bacterial small subunit ribosomal RNA", at positions 224 to 753 of the family's 1533-position model. The record is from RNAcentral. Lineage: Bacteria; Pseudomonadati; Bacteroidota.
GAUGAGCAUGCGUCCCAUUAGCUAGUUGGUAAGGUAACGGCUUACCAAGGCAACGAUGGGUAGGGGUCCUGAGAGGGAGAUCCCCCACACUGGUACUGAGACACGGACCAGACUCCUACGGGAGGCAGCAGUGAGGAAUAUUGGUCAAUGGGCGCAAGCCUGAACCAGCCAUGCCGCGUGCAGGAUGAAGCAUCUAUGGUGUGUAAACUGCUUUUGUACGAGAAGAAACACUCCUUCGUGAAGGAGCUUGACGGUAUCGUAAGAAUAAGGACCGGCUAACUCCGUGCCAGCAGCCGCGGUAAUACGGAGGGUCCAAGCGUUAUCCGGAAUCAUUGGGUUUAAAGGGUCCGUAGGCGGUUUUGUAAGUCAGUGGUGAAAGCCCAUCGCUCAACGGUGGAACGGCCAUUGAUACUGCAAGACUUGAAUUAUUGGGAAGUAACUAGAAUAUGUAGUGUAGCGGUGAAAUGCUUAGAUAUUACAUGGAAUACCAAUUGCGAAGGCAGGUUACUACCAAUACAUUGACGCUGAUGGA